GAUGAAGAACGCAACGAAAUGCGAUAAGUAAUGUGAAUUGCAGAAUUCAGUGAAUCAUCGAAUCUUUGAACGCACAUUGCGCCCGCCAGUAUUCUGGCGGGCAUGCCUGUUCGAGCGUCAUUUCAACCAUCAAGCCCUGCUUGCGUUGGGGUCCUGCGGCUGCCCGCAGGCCCUGAAAACCAGUGGCGGGCUCGCUAGUCACACCGAGCGCAGUAAUACAUCUCGCUUUGGGCGUGCGGCGGGUUCUUGCCGUUAAACACCCCCUUUUUACCAAGGUUGACCUCGGAUCAGGUAGGAAUACCCGCUGAACUUAAGCAUAUCAAUAAGCGGAGGA
Molecule: unclassified non-coding RNA, 334 nt
Filed under: soil metagenome
Description: partial contains 5.8S ribosomal RNA, internal transcribed spacer 2, and large subunit ribosomal RNA
Rfam family: 5.8S ribosomal RNA (bases 1-120)
Source: RNAcentral